GACGAACGCUGGCGGCGUGCUUAACACAUGCAAGUCGAACGGAAAGGCCCUGCUUUUGUGGGGUGCUCGAGUGGCGAACGGGUGAGUAACACGUGAGUAACCUGCCCUUGACUUUGGGAUAACUUCAGGAAACUGGGGUUAAUACCGGAUAGGAGCUCCUGCUGCAUGGUGGGGGUUGGAAAGUUUCGGCGGUUGGGGAUGGACUCGCGGCUUAUCAGCUUGUUGGUGGGGUAGUGGCUUACCAAGGCUUUGACGGGUAGCCGGCCUGAGAGGGUGACCGGCCACAUUGGGACGGAGAUACGGCCCGGCCUCCUACGGGAGGCAGCAGUGGGGAAUAUUGCACAAUGGGCGGAAGCCUGAUGCAGCAACGCCGCGUGCGGGAUGACGGCCUUCGGGUUGUAACCCGCUUUCGCCUGUGACGAAGCGUGAGUGACGGUAAUGGGUAAAGAAGCACCGGCUAACUACGUG
This 468-nucleotide ribosomal RNA is filed under the name uncultured bacterium. Its description in RNAcentral is "partial 16S ribosomal RNA". It matches the Rfam family "Bacterial small subunit ribosomal RNA", at positions 28 to 507 of the family's 1533-position model. The record is from RNAcentral.